UACGUAGGGUGCGAGCGUUGUUCGGAAUUAUUGGGCGUAAAGAGCUCGUAGGCGGUUUGUUGCGUCGGCUGUGAAAUCCCGAGGCUCAACCUCGGGUCUGCAGUCGAUACGAGCAAACUAGAGUGUUGCAGGGGAGACUGGAAUUCCUGGUGUAGCGGUGAAAUGCGCAGAUAUCAGGAGGAACACCGGUGGCGAAGGCGGGUCUCUGGGCAACAACUGACGCUGAGGAGCGAAAGCGUGGGGAGCGAACAGG
This 253-nucleotide ribosomal RNA is filed under the name uncultured bacterium. Its description in RNAcentral is "partial 16S ribosomal RNA". It matches the Rfam family "Bacterial small subunit ribosomal RNA", at positions 524 to 776 of the family's 1533-position model. The record is from RNAcentral.